GAGAGUGGGGGUUGGGCUAGUCGAAUUCUAGUUGGGCCAGCCUCGGUUGUGCUACUACCUGCUAUAGGACUUGGACCAUUGUGGGCAAUUCUCCUACUUACUGAGUGAACAGGUCGAACUGCUCCUUGUCUACAGGCACAAUUGGCUAUUCAAGUGGAACAAAUUUGGGAGUCUGUUUCGAUGGAGCAGGUUCGAAGCUCUGUAAUGAC
Molecule: long non-coding RNA, 209 nt
Filed under: Phoenix dactylifera (date palm)
Lineage: Eukaryota; Viridiplantae; Streptophyta; Magnoliopsida; Arecales; Arecaceae
Description: long non-coding RNA (PDAC_LNC003631)
Source: RNAcentral